Molecule: ribosomal RNA, 428 nt
Filed under: uncultured bacterium
Lineage: Bacteria
Description: partial 16S ribosomal RNA
Rfam family: Bacterial small subunit ribosomal RNA
Source: RNAcentral
GUAGGGAAUAUUGCGCAAUGGGGGAAACCCUGACGCAGCGACGCCGCGUGAGUGAUGAAGGCCUUCGGGUCGUAAAGCUCUGUUGCAGGGGAAUAAAAAAAUGAAGGUACCCUGUGAGGAAUGAUCGGCUAACUUCGUGCCAGCAGCCGCGGUAAGACGAGGGAUCCUAGCGUUGCUCGGAAUCAUUGGGCGUACAGAGGGCGUAGGUGGCUUGGUAAGUCAGGUGUGAAAGCCCAGGGCUCGACGCUGGAAGUGCAUUUGAUACUGCUGAGCUUGAGUGUCGGAGAGGUUACCGGAAUACCUGGUGUAGUGGUGAAAUACGUAGAUAUCAGGUGGAACACCGGAGGCGAAGGCGGGUAACUGGACGAACACUGACACUGAGGCCCGAAAGCGUGGGGAUCAAACAGGAUUAGAUACCCGAGUAGUCC